Molecule: ribosomal RNA, 165 nt
Filed under: Anoectochilus sp. LSJ-2013
Lineage: Eukaryota; Viridiplantae; Streptophyta; Magnoliopsida; Asparagales; Orchidaceae
Description: 5.8S ribosomal RNA
Rfam family: 5.8S ribosomal RNA
About the family: 5.8S ribosomal RNA (5.8S rRNA) is a component of the large subunit of the eukaryotic ribosome.
Source: RNAcentral
UAUGACUCUCGGCAAUGGAUAUCUUGGCUCUUGCAUCGAUGAAGAGCGCAGCGAAAUGCGAUACGUGGUGUGAAUUGCAGAAUCCCGUGAACCAUCAAAUCUUUGAACGCAAGUUGCGCCCGAGGCCAUUUGGCUAAGGGCACGUCCGCCUGGGCGUCAAGCAUU